GUGGCACAAGUGGGCRUGUCGACGGCGACUCAGACAAGACCAUGUCCACACAUGAGCAGUCACGAAUUGGUGUGUCCCACGGGAUCCUUGCCUCUCGCAAUCAACCACUGAAGAGGCCAUCCUUCUUAGUCCURUGCUCUUUCGUAUCUUUAGGCCAUCCUUUUGUCCUGUGCAUUGCGUGUGCCAUAUACCCGGCUCUGUAGGAAGUCAGCGAACCCCAUGUGCCAGUUCACCUCACCACCUCGAGCGGGAGGCACAACCACAAUGUGGUCGUCGCGCGCACCUUAACGACACAACCCCUGGGCCCCGUGCUAGCUGGGCUCCURAAGUAUCGCAAGCUCUCGCAAAUGCAGCAGACUUCGGGGACUUCGGCCUUCGRCCUGGACCUUGAUAGGUCAUUAAGCCACCCUCGUCGAGACAACGGUCGAUCCACCGAUAGGCCCCCUCCACUCCCUGCGGGCGGUCGGGCGCCUUGACAACACCGGCAUCR
Molecule: unclassified non-coding RNA, 490 nt
Filed under: Forzzaea sp. SH-2018
Lineage: Eukaryota; Viridiplantae; Streptophyta; Magnoliopsida; Poales; Bromeliaceae
Description: partial 26S-18S rRNA external transcribed spacer
Source: RNAcentral